GCCCUAGAUAUUAUCUAAGGUGCAACCUGCCCAAUGAUUUUAAAAUUAAAGCGCUUAAAAAACACUUAAUAAAAUUUAAAGGACGCAGUAACCUUGACUGUGAUAACGUAGCAUAAUCACUCGCCAUUUAAUUGAUGGAUAGUAUGAAUGGUUGAACGAAUAUUCCACUGUCUUAGAGAGAAACCCUACUAAAUUGAAAUAAUAGUUAAGAUGCUAUUUUAAAUUGUAAGACGAAAAGACCCUGUAGAGCUUAACUACAGUCUCAUUAAGACGAAAAGAAAACAAAUUCUCCUCCAAAUGAGAUAGGUAGUUUAGUUGGGGCGACUAUCUUCUAAAAACAACGAAGAGAAACGAGAGUUAAUAAAAGACUUACUGUAUAAUAAAUCUAUUUAACAGUUACAAAAGUAGGUUAUAAUGACCCGCUGUGUUAAAAUAAUAAUCACAGCGAUCAAUAGAUAAAAGCUACCUUAGGGAUAACAGGAUAAUUUCAUUUUAGAGAUCCUAUCGAAAAUGAAGUUUGUCACCUCUAUGUUGAAUUAAGAUAUCCAGACAAUGCAGAAGUUGUCAAGGGUAGGUCUGUUCGACCUUUAAAAUCUU
RNAcentral lists this ribosomal RNA (597 nucleotides) under Staurodiscus luteus. RNAcentral's name for it is "partial large subunit ribosomal RNA". It matches the Rfam family "Bacterial large subunit ribosomal RNA", at positions 1833 to 2597 of the family's 2925-position model. Lineage: Eukaryota; Metazoa; Cnidaria; Hydrozoa; Leptothecata; Laodiceidae. The record is from RNAcentral.